RNAcentral lists this long non-coding RNA (1134 nucleotides) under Homo sapiens (human). RNAcentral's name for it is "HSALNT0049501". Lineage: Eukaryota; Metazoa; Chordata; Mammalia; Primates; Hominidae. The record is from RNAcentral.
GCCAGCACUCUCUCCCUGGGGUCUGCGCACGAGGCUCCCUCCCUCCCAUACCCCUGUCCUGGGGACCUCUCCCCCUCACCAGAUGCCUCCCCCACCGCACCCCCGCUUUCCGCCCCGCAGCUGGGGCCUUGGCUCCAGGUCCUCCCAGCAGCAUUUAUCUCCUCACCUGACUGCAGCUGCCGGAGGAGCUGGCCUAUCUCUCCUGGCAGACAGUUAGGUUCCACGAAAGUGGCUUCUGGUGGGACGGGUAUUUUGAUUCUGUCACAGGAGCUGGCCCAGGCCUUGUUCCUGAACCAAUGGAUAAAGGCAUUCAUGCUCUGAAAUUGACAAACUGCCACACCAGGGCAGCGGGGUUCUAGGGUUCAGGGGCGAGCAAAGCUGGACACCAUCCCAAGGAACCUAUAGAGCAGCAUGGGGGCAUUGAAUGGCAGCCUCCAAAACAGAGAUGUCCACGGUCUCAGCUCCGGAACCGUGAAUGGGACCUUAUUUGGAAAAAGGGUCUUUGCAGAUGCGAUUAAGGAUCUCAAGAUGAGAUCGUCCUGGAUUUAGGGCAGGCCCUAAUCCAAUGGCAGCUGCCUUUACAAGAGAAAGGCAAAGGCGGAUUGGAGAGAGAGAAGACAGCGUGAAGACGGGGGUGGAGAGUGCAGCGACGUGGCCACAAGCCGAGGAACACCUGGGGCCCCCAGAAGCUGGCAGAGGCAACAAGGACCCUCCCCUAGAACGUGGGGGUCGGGGGAGCGCAGCCCUGCCUGCACCUGGGCUUCACACGGGUCUGUGGUGAACUGUUUCCGAAGCUUCAGGGCUCAUACAUCCAGUAAGGAAACUGGAAUUACAGUCGCUCCCUGCGGCGAGGACCCAGCAGGAGAGCCCGGGCUGAGAGCGGGAAGGCGUCUCCAGGAGCCACACCGAGGGUUAUCAGCAGAAAACACACGCCUGAAUGGGCGUGUCGGUGGAGCUGAGCCUGUCGCCUCAUCCAGUGCCACGGAGGAGCCCUCGCGGUGUCUCCCUGCAGAGGUCACACUGGGGUCACAACUGAGGCUGCCUUGGGCAAGGGCCAACCGCAAGGCUGUUUCUGAAACCAUAAAGUACCAAGAGAAUGCCCUGUGUUACAAUUAAUAAAUAGCAUUGUUAAUC